Molecule: unclassified non-coding RNA, 306 nt
Filed under: uncultured fungus
Lineage: Eukaryota; Fungi
Description: sequence contains ITS1
Source: RNAcentral
UUGUUUGCUCAUUCUUUGUUUGAUACAGCCGGCCGCCAUCGCCACCAUCGUCAUCCGACAACAGCAACAACGGCCAGCACAACAUGACAAGAAAGCGUGGAUGCACAGCACCACCGAGCGUGUCGGUGGGAGCGCCAAUGUGUGCUGUUGCUGCUGUUGCUCCAGCGCAAGAGAGCAUCGUGCAAGAAAGCAGUCUUGCAAAAAGUCUGCAAUAGAGCAUCGUGCAAGAAAACUCUUGCAAGAACAACAGCUGCAACAGCCACCUGUGUAUUUGUAAUGAUCCUUCCGCAGGUUCACCUACGGAAA